This 216-nucleotide non-coding RNA is filed under the name Clostridioides difficile E16. Its description in RNAcentral is "Intron_gpI". It matches the Rfam family "Group I catalytic intron", at positions 40 to 253 of the family's 253-position model. Rfam says of the family: Group I catalytic introns are large self-splicing ribozymes. They catalyse their own excision from mRNA, tRNA and rRNA precursors in a wide range of organisms. RNAcentral also lists the same sequence under 1 other name. The record is from RNAcentral. Lineage: Bacteria; Bacillati; Bacillota; Clostridia; Peptostreptococcales; Peptostreptococcaceae.
UAUAAUGAUAAACUCCUUUAAUUGCUGGAAACUCCCGUUAGGCUUUUAGUACCAAAGUGUGAAAAAUUAAAAGAUAGGGAUAAUCAGCAACCAAGACUCAAGAGAGUAAGGUUCAACGACUAGGUUAUAAACCGUACACUAUAAGCUAUUGAUAGUGGAAAUGGGGAGCAUCCUUAUAGGAUGAAGAUAUAGUCUCAUCUAUAUGGAAACAUAUAG